Long non-coding RNA from Syzygium oleosum, 837 nucleotides. RefSeq lists it as uncharacterized. NCBI's taxonomy places the organism in Eukaryota, Viridiplantae, Streptophyta, Magnoliopsida, Myrtales, Myrtaceae. The record is from RefSeq and is a predicted model, not a curated record. The transcript has 2 exons.
UCGCUCUUCCUCUCUUUUGCCCAGUGCCCACCAUCAUCUCUCUUUCUCGUUCCGAUUUCUCUCACUAAAAUGGCCACUGCUCCUCCCACCGGCGACGCCCUGCUUCCCGCCUUCGGCCUCUGAGAAAAGCGGCACCUGCUUCCUGCUUUCGGCCUUCAAGAAAAGCGGCGCCGCAUCUCACCAGCCCUGCCUCUUCCUUAUGUCGCUCAACUCCAUCUUGGCAGGGAACGUCAUGAUCCCUAUUAGAGCCCGACGCCUCCUCGCGAAGAAGAUGAUCCGACCAAAGGUGGCAGCCUUGGCGACAGAGCUCCUCGUCUGACGGAGGCGGCAAGGAAGAUCUCGAGGUGAACAAGAUCGGAGGAAGUAGCGGCAACAAAGAGGGAGAAGAGGAUGCACAUGGCGUCGGAGGCCAGAGCGAUUCGAGGUGACGAGGUUCUAUCGAUGAAUCCUGGUUUUGGCCUCUGCUGGCUUUCGGCAGCGAUGCUGGAUUUAAUCAAGAGGCUUCAACGGCUCUCGUCGAAGGGGAUGGAUUCCCCGUAGAAGAGGAAGGUGUCGAUGGUGGAGAUGGCGGGAUCGGCGGAGAACUCGAACUCAUGGGGGUCUUAAAGCGGCAAAGUCGGAGGUAGAGCGAGCCAGAAUUCGUUGGGUUGGUCGAGGGUUGCCAAAGGGAUGUCAAGGAGAUGGAGUCUUCGCCGGCGUCGUCGGAGUCACGAGGAAGAUGGGUGUCUGACAUGGAUGAGGGAUUGUAAAAGAAUGAAAAGUUUCUAUAGCUUCCAUGGUUUAUUUUUAAUUUUGAUCCUACAAAUCAAAAGCUCAUUUGGAUAAUAUUUAUUUAAA